Molecule: ribosomal RNA, 466 nt
Filed under: uncultured bacterium
Lineage: Bacteria
Description: partial 16S ribosomal RNA
Rfam family: Bacterial small subunit ribosomal RNA
Source: RNAcentral
GAUGAACGCUGGCGGCGUGCUUAACACAUGCAAGUCGAACGAUGAAGCCCAGCUUGCUGGGUGGAUUAGUGGCGAACGGGUGAGUAACACGUGAGUAACCUGCCCUUAACUCUGGGAUAAGCCUGGGAAACUGGGUCUAAUACCGGAUAGGAGCGUCCACCGCAUGGUGGGUGUUGGAAAGAUUUAUCGGUUUUGGAUGGACUCGCGGCCUAUCAGCUUGUUGGUGAGGUAAUGGCUCACCAAGGCGACGACGGGUAGCCGGCCUGAGAGGGUGACCGGCCACACUGGGACUGAGACACGGCCCAGACUCCUACGGGAGGCAGCAGUGGGGAAUAUUGCUCAAUGGGCGCAAGCCUGAUGCAGCGACGCCGCGUGAGGGAUGACGGCCUUCGGGUUGUAAACCUCUUUCAGUAGGGAAGAAGCGAAAGUGACGGUACCUGCAGAAGAUGCACCGGCUAACUACGUG